GUGCUUGCUUCAGCAGCACGCAUGCUAAAACUGGAGUGAUACAGAGAAGAUUGUCAUGGUAUCUGCAUAAGGCUGACAAACAAAAAUUAAAAAAAAAGAAGGAAGGA
Molecule: small nuclear RNA, 107 nt
Filed under: Ochotona princeps (American pika)
Lineage: Eukaryota; Metazoa; Chordata; Mammalia; Lagomorpha; Ochotonidae
Source: RNAcentral